UGAAGAGUUUGAUCAUGGCUCAGAUUGAACGCUGGCGGCAGGCCUAACACAUGCAAGUCGAACGGUAACAGGAAGCAGCUUGCUGCUUCGCUGACGAGUGGCGGACGGGUGAGUAAUGUCUGGGAAACUGCCUGAUGGAGGGGGAUAACUACUGGAAACGGUGGCUAAUACCGCAUAACGUCGCAAGACCAAAGAGGGGGACCUUCGGGCCUCUUGCCAUCAGAUGUGCCCAGAUGGGAUUAGCUUGUUGGUGAGGUAACGGCUCACCAAGGCGACGAUCCCUAGCUGGUCUGAGAGGAUGACCAGCCACACUGGAACUGAGACACGGUCCAGACUCCUACGGGAGGCAGCAGUGGGGAAUAUUGCACAAUGGGCGCAAGCCUGAUGCAGCCAUGCCGCGUGUAUGAAGAAGGCCUUCGGGUUGUAAAGUACUUUCAGCGGGGAGGAAGGUGUUGUGGUUAAUAACCGCAGCAAUUGACGUUACCCGCAGAAGAAGCACCGGCUAACUCCGUGCCAGCAGCCGCGGUAAUACGGAGGGUGCAAGCGUUAAUCGGAAUUACUGGGCGUAAAGCGCACGCAGGCGGUCUGUCAAGUCGGAUGUGAAAUCCCCGGGCUCAACCUGGGAACUGCAUUCGAAACUGGCAGGCUUGAGUCUUGUAGAGGGGGGUAGAAUUCCAGGUGUAGCGGUGAAAUGCGUAGAGAUCUGGAGGAAUACCGGUGGCGAAGGCGGCCCCCUGGACAAAGACUGACGCUCAGGUGCGAAAGCGUGGGGAGCAAACAGGAUUAGAUACCCUGGUAGUCCACGCCGUAAACGAUGUCUACUUGGAGGUUGUGCCCUUGAGGCGUGGCUUCCGGAGCUAACGCGUUAAGUAGACCGCCUGGGGAGUACGGCCGCAAGGUUAAAACUCAAAUGAAUUGACGGGGGCCCGCACAAGCGGUGGAGCAUGUGGUUUAAUUCGAUGCAACGCGAAGAACCUUACCUGGUCUUGACAUCCACAGAAGAAUCCAGAGAUGGAUUGGUGCCUUCGGGAACUGUGAGACAGGUGCUGCAUGGCUGUCGUCAGCUCGUGUUGUGAAAUGUUGGGUUAAGUCCCGCAACGAGCGCAACCCUUAUCCUUUGUUGCCAGCGAUUAGGUCGGGAACUCAAAGGAGACUGCCAGUGAUAAA
This 1167-nucleotide ribosomal RNA is filed under the name Salmonella enterica subsp. enterica serovar Typhimurium str. SL1344. RNAcentral's name for it is "bacterial SSU rRNA". It matches the Rfam family "Bacterial small subunit ribosomal RNA", at positions 1 to 1162 of the family's 1533-position model. Lineage: Bacteria; Pseudomonadati; Pseudomonadota; Gammaproteobacteria; Enterobacterales; Enterobacteriaceae. The record is from RNAcentral.